This 755-nucleotide long non-coding RNA is filed under the name Homo sapiens (human). RNAcentral's name for it is "non-protein coding lnc-NXF5-2:1". The record is from RNAcentral. Lineage: Eukaryota; Metazoa; Chordata; Mammalia; Primates; Hominidae.
GCAGCCUCAUUUUCUUCAGAGUCAGCAUCUUUCUUUCCCCUUGCAAGCAGUCUCCUGUUUCUAUGAAUAGUCUUUGCUCAGACAAGGCCAAUAUACUUGGUAAUAAUUAAUUUAGCUUCUUUGAAAUGAUUAGGUCACUUUUUGGUUUAAAAGAUUACCAUGGUUGUCCCCAAAAUCUUUGCAUGUACCAAUUUAUUUCCUCCUCCCUAGGGUCAGAAUGAUUUUAUAUUUGGCUUAUGAAAUGUAUUAAUUUGCUUCUUCUGGUCAAAGAUAAAGUGGAAGGAUGAUGAGAUUUUUAAAAAAUUAAUGUAUCCCUUGCUUCUAAUUCUACCUACAAAGUGGAAUAGUGUGCUAGUUACUAUAUAGUUCCCAGUGUAUAGCUUUUGACUCUUUUGAAGUGGUAACUAGUAGUUUUGUUUUAGAAUUUUGCUUUCAGCUUUUAUCCUGAGAGUGGGGCUCACUGAACCUCUCUCCUUUCUAAAAUCUGUGGAAAUUACUUUUGGUAACUAAGGCACUGCAGUGAUCUCAGCAUUUAGUAUGAGAACCUAUGUUUGCCAUAUUUGUAGUAUUGCUUUUACAUCUUUAGAUAUGUUCCGGUCCCACAUGCAAGGAAGUGAACAUCAAAUUAAAGAAUCCAUUGUUAUCAAUCUAGUGAAGAAUUCAAGGAAGACACAAGACUCUUACCAAAAUGAGUGUGCAGAUUACAUCAAUGUGCAGAAAGCCAGAGGACUAGAGGCCAAGACUUGUUUCAGAAA